RNAcentral lists this long non-coding RNA (6237 nucleotides) under Amborella trichopoda. RNAcentral's name for it is "long non-coding RNA (ATRI_LNC002142)". Lineage: Eukaryota; Viridiplantae; Streptophyta; Magnoliopsida; Amborellales; Amborellaceae. The record is from RNAcentral.
UUUCUAAAGAGUGAAGGCGUAAAUGAGAGAAUGAAAGGCGUAAAUGAGAGAAUGAAAGAAUGGGGAACUGCUACAAAAUUCGGGGAAGGGAGGGCGUGGAUGCCACAAUUCCUCUUUUCAUAUUGUGAGUCUCAGAGCAGAUGCAUAUGCAUUCAAUAUCGAUGCGCAACCACACUUCGUAUUUCAGGAUUAUGGAAGGAACUGCUACAAAACUAGGUUUACGAGCAGUAAGAACAUCGAGGUUUUAGAGAGAAACCACCAGUUUAAGAACAAAAUUCUUGCAAACAAGGUUCGUUCUACUCCUCAUUAAGGUUCCUGUUUGUUCUUCUUCUUUGUAAAUUUUCAAUGGGGUUUUUCUCUAUAAUUUGUAGGUUUCAAAGCUUGAGGUUCUAGAGAGAGAAACAUGACUUUUUUUAUUUUUUUGCGUUUUUCUCUAUAAAAUCAGCAGAAAGACUGUAGUUCAAUGGGGGCUUUCUCUGUAAUUUGCGGGUUUCAAAGAUUGUGGUUCUAGAGAGAAACAUAGCUCUUUUUUAAUUUCUUGGGUUUCUCUCUGUAAAGUCAGUAAGAAAAUGAAUGUCUUUUUGGUCUCGUUUUAUUCGUUUUUUAAAAAAUCGCGUUUUCUACGGUAUUAUGAAAAAUAUGCUUGAUGAUUUUUCAAAAAAACUCUAUUUUAAAUGUCUUUCAAAAAAGUUCCGCUUUUUUAAAAAUUUCGACAAUUAAUUGCCGAUUUACUAACUAUGGUAUAGAGCCUAGGCUCUAAACAAUCAAAUUAAAGCCUACCUUCAAAUAGGAUAGAGAGAUGUGGUUUCACUAUGGGAAAUAUUUGUGAUAGCCUUAAAAUAUGUGUUCAUAUUUAUUUAUAAAGUUUAAAGCUUAAAAAAUAGUGAAGAUUCACCGAUCUACGGAAUUUUGAAAAUUGAUUGCCAAAAAAUACGUAACAAAAUACACUAUUUUCAAAACUUGAAAUCCAAUUUUCCUCAUGUCCGCAUCUUGAUGUCGAGAUCAUCAAUUUGAAGAUAUUUAGGCAUCAAAACAACAUCUUCUAAUGGAAUUUUUGAGGUAGGCUCAAAUUUGAUUGUUUAGAGCCUCGGCUCUAUAUAAACUUUUCCCUAUUUUUAUUUGGUUUUUUUUUCUUUUUUAGUGAAAGAUAAAAGAGAUGGCCUUAAAGGCGUGCUCCUCUUUCUUUUCCUUUUUCUUUUUUUAAUAGCAAAAUGGAUUUUUCUUUUCUAAAAAAAAAAAAAGCCAAAUUAUGUCGAUUUAAAACCUGAUAAUUAAAAAUCGCCUUAGAGAGGCUAGUUGAUUAGGUCAUUGUUCGCAAAAUCGCUCGAUCGCAUCGCUAACCGCCUGGUUAGAUCGGAACCGGCCAAUUGCCAGUUCCGAUCUUGGGCGGUUAGGGUGAUCAACCGGUAUAUUAAAAAAAAAAUUCCAAAAAAUGUAUAUAAAUUCUCAAAAAUAAGGAAUUUGAUUUGUAAUGUAUUUUUGUAUUUUUAAAUAUUCUUUACAUUAUGGUAAAGAUUAAAAAUUGUUUUGGUCAUUAAUACUCACUUUUAUAUUUUCCCAUCUUUUUUAGAAAAUUUAAAAAGUAGUCAUUAGAAAAUAUAAAAUGGGUUAAAAUCCAUUUUUUUCAUGAAUUUUCAACUUCAUUUGAAUGUGUUUUGUUUUAAUCAUUACUUAUAUGCUCUUCAUAUUUUAGUAGAUUUUUAUUUUUAUUUUUUUCCAAUACUUUUUUGACCGCCCGAGACUUGCUCGGUUAGAAUGGUUGAAUCGGCCGGUUUACCAGUUAGGUUGGUUAAACCGCCGCAACGCCCAUGUCCGAUUAACAAUUCCGGUUCGAUUUUGCGAACACUAGAUUAGGUUGAUGAUGAUAAGCUUUACUUCAAUGGAUUGUUGAAAAAACUCGAGGGAAGAGAUGAAUCCACUCCUAGGAUUAAGGGCAGUGUCUUUAGGCUAUCGAUCGGAAAGAUCAAGUUUUUACCAGAACUGUGAGAACCUUGUAAAUUUCUGUGUACCUCUCCAUGGCCAUGAAAUCUUUCUUAAAGAGAGAUGGAGGAGGUUGUUCUCCAACGUUCGGCUUCUUCCUGAAAUCUUUGAGAAAACGUGGCCCUGUAAUCCUGGGAAAUGGGUACUUACUUUCUAGCCAUUAAAUAAUGGCACUUUCUCUCUCUAAGAAGCCUCACUUUUUUAGUGAUAAGCAUUAAAUUAUAAGAGAGAGAACUAUUGCACGUUUAAAGGCCCCAUGGCCACACCCACGUACCAACAUCUCUCACUUGGCCAUGAUGGCCAGAUAUAUUGAAAUAUCAUAGUCUUCACCACUUAAUGAAUUUAACAUUUAUAUGCAUAUUUUUGUCAUGAGGCUUUCACGCAAAUGUGGUUAUACAACUCAUAACCAAAAAUAUCCAAAGUCAUGUCAUGGUUUUUCACGCUAAUGCGGUUUUUCCUUUCAUGACCAAGACAUCAAAAAAUAUCUCAUUUGAGAGUUCCUGACUUAAAUAUUUUUAAGUCCCAUCAAAACUACAUACUUUGAUAAUAUUUUUGCACUCAAUCCCUUUGUUAAAGGGUCAGCAAUCAUAUCUAAAGAUGGCACAUAACUUACAGUUAUUUCAUUCUUUCCAAUAAUAUCAUAAAUAUAAUGAUAAUCGAUUUCAAUGUGCUUACCCAUGGAACUAUAAGCUCCAUUUCUAAUUGAUGAAAUAACAGCCUGAUUAUCACAAAAAUUUUAACAGGUCCAUCGGCUAUAUCCAGCUUCAAAUCAUUUAUGAAGCGUUUAAUCCAGACGGCAUAAAUUGUAGCAAUGCUACAAGCAAUAUACUCGGUUUCCAUAACAUACCGAGCUACAUAACAUUAUUUCUUACUAGACCAAAAAACACGUCCACCACCAAAAAAGAACACAAUUCUUGAGGUUGAUUUUCUAUCAUCUGGGUCUCCUACAAAAUCUGCAUCAGAGUACCCAGUAACUUCUAAGUUGUCAGCUUGGAAGCACAACUUGUAAUUUUUAGUUUCUGAAUAUAUCUGAGUAUCAUUUUUACAGUUUGCCAAUGAGGCAUCCCAGGAUUACUCUGAAAUCUACUUUCAAGACCAUAUGCAUGACUCAAGUCAGGUCUUAUACACAACAUGGCAUAAUUUAUGCAUCCUACAGCUUGAGCAUUUAGAAUUCUUUCCAUUUCAGCUUUGUCACUAUCAUUUAAUGGACAUAUUUUCUUUGAUAAUUUUAAGCCUUUACAAAAUGGUGUAUCUAUAAGUUUACAAUUUUCCAUCUUAAAUCUCUUUAAAAUACUUUCUAAAUAAUUUUUUUGAGAUAAACAUAGAAGUCUUGAACUUUUAUCUCUUGUUAUCAUAAUGCCCAAUACAUAUGAGGCUUCUCCCAUAUCUUUCAUCUCAAAAUGGGAACUUAUUCAUGAUUUGGUAUGAUUAAUCAUGCCAAUAUCAUUACCGACUCUCAAAAUAUCAUCCACAUAUAGUGACAAUAUAACAAAAUUGCUCCCAUUAUUUCAGAUAUAUACACAAUGGUCUAACUUAUUGGCUAUAUAAUCAAUUUCAGUGAUUGCAUUAUGAAAAGUAAAUUAUCAUUGCCUAGAAGACUGUUUUAGACCAUAUAAAGAUUUCUUAAGUUUAUAUACUUUGUCUUCUUGGCCUUUAAUUACAUAUCCUUCUGGUUGUUUCAUGUAUAUAUCUUCUUUUAAUUUUCCAUUUAAGAAAGUUAUUUUGACAUCUAUCUGAAAUAAUUUUAUAUCAUAAUAUGCAACUAAUGCAAGGGUGAUCCUAAUAGAUGAAAAUUUCCUAUUGGAGAAUAGGUUUCUAUAUAAUCUAUGCCCUCCCUUUGGGUAAAUCCUUUAGCUACCAACCUAGCUUUAUAUUUAUCAAUGGAUCCAUUUUCAUUAAGCUUUUUCUUUAGAACCCACUUGCAACCGAUGGCUUUUCUAUCUUUAGGGAGCUCAACCAACUCCUACACUUGAUUUCUUUUAAUAGAAUCAAGUUCAUCAUCCAUGGCUUGAGUCCACUCAACUGAGUCAUGUGAGCUAAUAGCUUCACUAUAGCUACGAGGUUCAUCUAUUGUAUCCUCACUCAUUGAAAAGUAAUUAUCUUCAUUCAUAAAUACAUAAAAUUCUUCUAAAGUCGUAGGUGGGGCUUUAAUUCUUUUAAGUCUAUCUGGUAUACUUGAUUCAAUUAAAUCAUUCUCACCAAAUGUAGAGGGAGUCUGAGAAACAGGGUCUUCUAGACCCUUAUUUUUAUCACUUUCAUGUAAGUCAAUAGGCUUAUUUAAAAUAUUUUCAUCAUCUAUAUUUUCUAAGAAAUGAACAUCACGACUCUUUACUAAUGAUCUACUAUUAUGGUUAUAGAAUCUAUAUCCUUUAGAAUUUUCUGAAUAGCCUAUAAAAGAGCAUUUUAUAGUUUUAUUUUGUAAUUUAUCUCUAUUUUGUAGUGGUAUAAGUACAUGUACUCAAGAACCCCAAACUUUCAAGAUAGUAAGGUCAGGUUUAUUUCCUGUCCAUAAUUCAUAUGGGGUCAAGUCUAUAGAUUUAGUUGGAACAUGAUUAAUGAUAUAUAUUACAGUGUUGAGAGCCUCACCCCAAAAAUGAGGUGAUAAAUUUGAAUGGCUCAUCUUGGACCAAACCAUGUCCAUUAGAGUUCUAUUUCUCCUCUCAACUACACCAUUUGUUGUAGUGUAUAUGGCAUAGUUGUUUGGUGAAUUAUACCAUGCUCCUUACAAAAUUCAGAAAAUAAGGCGACGCAAUAUUCACCUCCCCUAUCUAUUCGAAGAAUUUUAAUAUGUCAACCUAACUGAUUUUCUACCUUAGCUUUAUAUUCUUUAAAUGUUUCUAAUGCAUCUGAUUUCUUACUAAUUAGGUAUACAAAUCCAUAACGUGAAUAAUCGUCUAUAAAUAUUAUGAAAUAUUCCAUACUUCUAUGUGUUUUCACAUUUAAUGGGCCACAUAUAUCAGAAUGAACAAUACUAAGUAGUUCACUAGACCUUUUCUGUUUAUGAAAAAGCUUCUUAGUUAAUUUACCAGAAAUACAUGGCUCACAUGUUUUGAACACAAUUUUUCCUAAAUUGGGGAGCAAGCCUCUUUUAACCAUUUGAUUCAUUUUGUCUUUAUUUAUAUGUCCUAAUCUUAAGUGUCAUAAAUACGGAUCAUCCAUACACAUAAAAGCAUCAAAAGAAGCAUCAACAUAACUAGAAAAUGAUGAACUUUCAUUAAUGUUCAGUCGGUACAAAUUGUCAACUUUAGUACCGUACACCAAAGUUCUAGAAUGCUUCCUAUUGGUAACCCGCCCAAACCUGAACCUUAUUUCAUAACCCUUGUCGUCUAGCCUUGGGACAAAAAUCAAAUUACGCCUCAUAUUGGGCGCAUAUAAUGUAUCAGUCAAUAAGAGAUUUGUUCCUCGUAGUAAACAUAGCUUGAAAGUACCAACACGUAGUACAUCGCAGAUGGUGUCUUCCCAUAUAAAUCUGCUGGUUACCAACUGCAAUCUCUUUCAAUUAUGUGAAUCCAUCCUUGGUCCUCGAGACAUAUCGAGUGGAGGUUGAGUCGACCUACCAAUUUCUCAGGUCAUGAUCGGUAACUAUUGAUUCUAGGACUACGCAGAUCAAGUCCUUUCUCUUAUUUUGAUUAUUUCGAAUAGGGUUGUUAUUUUGGUUUUUAUUUUUAUUUUUUUAGCUUAAAUCAAUUAAACUUAAUGUGCCCAAUUUUCUUACAAUAAAAACAGGUCUUCUCAACUUUAUUCUUUUGAUUUUUAAAAUUUCUCCUCAUUCCCUUAUACCUAGUAUUUUUCUGAUAAUUGAAAGGUUCUUGAGUAGAGCUCAUUUGAACUCUUCCUCAUUCUUCUCUCAGCUUCAAUACUAAGAUGCAUAGGAAGAUUUAACAUGGUUAUCCCUUGUGCAGAAUGGUCCAAUGCGAUUACAACAGACUCUCAAGAUGGAGGGAGACUUUUAAAGACAAUGGACACUUGCAUGCGAUCGGGGACUGGAUUCCCAGCUGAAGCAAAGUCCUUUACGCGCACUGUCAUUUUAUUGACAUGCUCGAUCACUGAGUUAUUUUCUUUCAUUCUACAGGAAUUGUAUUUUUCUAAUAACAAUUGUACAUGGGUCUCAGAAGUGGUCUCAUACUUUUCAGUUAAGGGGCCUAAUCCUCAAAGACUCUAAUUAAAUCAUCUUCCAUAAAGCUCAACAUAGUAGUCCUAGCUACUUUGUCAUCUUCUAACAAUUUUUCAAGACUCCUUCUGGCUUGACUAUUGGCA